CUUCAAUGCUGCACACAAUAAAUUGUGCUGAAGAGCAAUAUUACUAUGUUUGUGAUAACAAAAGAGUGCUUUUUAUGGACACGCGGGAUAAACUGGUUUACGAUAAAGCCAAGCACGCUUGCAAUAUUAGAUUCGCCAGUUUACCUACCGACGCCGAGGAAACCUGCAUGAAGGAGCUUGUCAACCGGAUACCCAAAUGGGAAGGACAACUAUAUUUCUGGGCUACUAGACUAGCUGAUGGGAAUCCGCUUGUCUUUAAUAAUCGUAGUUCGCUUGUUCCUGCGACCGCUACGCACAAAUUUCAUAUAGCCUGCGUUGACAGGAGGGGUGAAUCUCACUAUGUUUGUGAUGCCAACAGAGUGCUUUUUAUGCACACGCGGGAUUUAGUGUCGUACGAUAAAGCCACUAACUUUUGCAAUAUUAGAGGCGCCAGUUUACCUACCGUCAACGAGGAACCCUGCAUGAGGGACCUUUCUUCCCAGUUAUUUAAAACCGAAGGAGACCUAUAUUUCUGGACUACUAGACCAGCUGGUGGGAAGCCGUUUGCCUCUAAUGGAGUUGAUGUGCUUACUUAUCUAAAGCCUACGAACAAAUUUAAUGUAGCCUGCGUUCAGAGGAGGAUUUGUCUACGGCCUAAGGAUCCAGCUCAUGGGUCUUACAGCAACGGUGUAUUCCUUCAACAAGAAUUGCUUGAUACGCUGACUUUGACAUGUAAACCGGGAUAUGAGGUUCAAGGUAACCCGAAGGUGACUUGCAUCACAGCACCUUCCACUACUAGCCCACUACCUA
This is a long non-coding RNA of Sycon ciliatum, 789 nucleotides long. RefSeq lists it as uncharacterized. The transcript has 4 exons. NCBI's taxonomy places the organism in Eukaryota, Metazoa, Porifera, Calcarea, Leucosolenida, Sycettidae. The record is from RefSeq and is a predicted model, not a curated record.